RNAcentral lists this ribosomal RNA (481 nucleotides) under uncultured bacterium. RNAcentral describes it as "partial 16S ribosomal RNA". It matches the Rfam family "Bacterial small subunit ribosomal RNA", at positions 28 to 507 of the family's 1533-position model. The record is from RNAcentral.
GAUGAACGCUGGCGGCGUGCUUAACACAUGCAAGUCGAACGAAGCAUUUGCGACAGAUUUUUUCGGAAUGAAGUUGCUUAUGACUGAGUGGCGGACGGGUGAGUAACGCGUGGGUAACCUGCCUUGUACUGGGGGAUAGCAGCUGGAAACGGCUGGUAAUACCGCAUAAGCGCACAAUGUUGCAUGACAUGGUGUGAAAAACUCCGGUGGUAUAAGAUGGACCCGCGUCUGAUUAGCUAGUUGGUGAGAUAACAGCCCACCAAGGCGACGAUCAGUAGCCGACCUGAGAGGGUGACCGGCCACAUUGGGACUGAGACACGGCCCAGACUCCUACGGGAGGCAGCAGUGGGGAAUAUUGCACAAUGGAGGAAACUCUGAUGCAGCGACGCCGCGUGAGUGAAGAAGUAAUUCGUUAUGUAAAGCCCUAUCAGCAGGGAAGAUAGUGACGGUACCUGACUAAGAAGCUCCGGCUAAAUACGUG